This 1803-nucleotide long non-coding RNA is filed under the name Sus scrofa (pig). RNAcentral describes it as "lncRNA (ENSSSCG00005019239.1)". Lineage: Eukaryota; Metazoa; Chordata; Mammalia; Artiodactyla; Suidae. The record is from RNAcentral.
UUUUUCUUUUCGUUGCACAUAUUUUUUAAAAGUAUAGUUGAUUUACAAUGUUGUACCAAUUUCUUCUGUACAGCAAAGUGACCCAGUCAUACAUACACAUGGGUUCACAGGUUCUUUUUCUCUUAUUAUCUUCCAUUAUGUUCUAUCCCAAGAGACUGGAUACAGUUCUCUGUGCUAUGCUCUCGGACCGCAAUGCUUAUCCAGUCUAAAUAUAAUAGUUUGCAUCCUCUAGUGCCAAACUCCCAGUCCAUCAAACUCCCUCCCCCCUAUUUUUCCUUUAUUGAUUGUGCUAAGAAAACAUUACUGCAUCCAAGGUCAUAAAGAUUUACUCCUAUAUUUUCUUAUAAGGAAUUUUCUUUUCUUUUCUUUUCUUUUUUUGUCUUUUUGCCUCUUCUAGGGCCACUCCCGCGGCAUAUGGAGGUUCAAUCUCUGGUCUCACUCAGUGGGUUAAGGAUCCAACACUGCCGUGAGCUGUGGUGUAGGUUUCAGACAUGGCUCGAAUCUGACGUUGCUGUGGCUGUGGCAUAGGUCAGCUGGCUACAGCUCCGAUUUGACCUCUAGCCUGGGGACUUCACAUGCCAGGGAUGCGGUCCUAAAAAGACACACACGCAAAAAAACCCCAAAACCCCAAACGUGGUCUUCUGAAGACAUAGACUAUGACUAUUAAGAGGUGGAAUAUGGCAGCUCCUUUGCUAAUGCUGCUCUUACAGUAUCCAUAUUUCCAGCUCUAAUACAAUUGACUUCAUGUCUGUCUUUCACAUCACACUGACUUGAGGCAUGGACUCUUGCAUUUUCACCCAAGAAUGUGACACACACUGUGUACCCAGUAAAUAUACUCAACUGCUGGGUGAUCCUGGCAAGUGAUUUAACCUCUCUGUUGAUUUAGUUUCCUCAUUCAUAAAACAGCAGUGAAAACAGUCCCUAUGUCACAGGGAUGAGAAGAUGUCUAUAAAGUGCUUACUAUAGCAUCUGGCACAUAUAAAGUGAUAUUAGUGGUACUAAUAUCAGCUGAUAUUGUUAUCACCAUUAUCAUCAUGAUUUUUAUUACUCUAUUCUCCUUCUAAAACCACCAGUGGAAACGAACAUCAGUCACUUAUUCACAUAUCACCACGCAUGUUCCCAAGUCCCAAGUAACUGAUGGUUACUUUUGUCUGCCAUUUUUUUUUUCAUGGUCCAGGCAUAUUUUUAAAAGACUAAGUCACUAGGAAGGACAUAUGGAAGUAGCGGGUCUGGGACAGAGAUUCUUAACCAUUCUGAACAAGAGAGAAACUGCAUCAGAAGCUCCCUGAGGCUUUUUCAAACCACACCCAUGGCACCUCCAACUCCACAAUCCAAAUGUAUCACUCUCUCUCUGCCCUGAAAGGGAGGUUUAUUUCUGCAGUUGAGAAUCACUGGCAAAGACAGUUGCUGUUGAUGAAGGUAUGUUGUGUUUGUGAACUAGCAGGUGGAAGCUAAAAAGAAAAAAAAAAAAAAGUUGACAACCACUGUUGCCUAGGGCAACUUAUCACAUUUUGCAGGAUGUGGGUUUAGGGCAUGCUGUUCCAUCGUUUACCUCACUCUUUUCAGUCCCAGCUACUUUUAGGGAAAAAAAAAAUGGGGGAGGGGAGAGGGGAAGAGAACAAAUAAGAGUAAGCAAUGGUAAUUUGAAGUUGUUUGUUUUUGUUGCUAGAGGGCUAAUAAAACAUUCUGGGUCUAAGUUUAAUUACGCAUUAAAAUCAGAUUUCAAGGACAGACCCCACAGUAAUAUAAAAUGUUUUCCCACACUUUUUUUCUUUAGCUUCUGUCAUAAAGCAUCUAAUAUUC